CAGACUGGAAGUACUUGGAAUGUGUGGGAAGAGACGGUAGUGAAUAUUGGUUCAACUUUUAAUAAACACUUCCAGGAAGAAGUGGAACCCUCCAGUGAUGUUUGGAAUGGCAAUUCUUUCUUCAUGCAAUAGUGGCCUGGUGGUAAUGGAAAAUCUGCCUCAGCAGGAAAAGAAAGAAAGAAAGGCUUGUCGUUAAAGGGAAAGCUGUGGGGAUCUUCACCCUGGUCGCAGAAUUCAGGUGAUGUAAGGCAGCUUACGUUGACCUAACUCUUGAGGUGCGGUGGCCUUCCGAGGACCUGGAGUGGGAGGGCCCCCGCACUGAGCCCUGGUGGGCAGAGCCAGGGCCUAGUUGCCCCUCCCCAAGGCCGGCGAAGAAGGACACCAUGAACCAGAGGAAGAGGAACAGGGAGAAGAAAAUCCCAAUGAGUCCCGGA
Malaclemys terrapin pileata is the source of this 434-nucleotide long non-coding RNA. RefSeq lists it as uncharacterized. Lineage: Eukaryota; Metazoa; Chordata; Testudines; Emydidae. The transcript has 4 exons. The record is from RefSeq and is a predicted model, not a curated record.